Long non-coding RNA from Gossypium arboreum, 599 nucleotides. RefSeq lists it as uncharacterized. The transcript has 3 exons. Lineage: Eukaryota; Viridiplantae; Streptophyta; Magnoliopsida; Malvales; Malvaceae. The record is from RefSeq and is a predicted model, not a curated record.
CCUACAAGAACAGAUGUUUAGUUCAAUGAAAUACCCUAUUAUGGGUGUAUUUCAUUCCAGGCUUAAGUAGAGAUAUUUAUUGAUUUUUAUUCCCUUCCCUCUUCACCUUUUACCCAUUCCUUGCUUGAAGAAUCCUAUCUUACCCUUACCAAAUUCUCAUCUCAAAAACACUCAAUCGGCAACCAUUUCUUACUUCCUUCGACUUUGGCAUUCCUCUCCUUCAUCCAAGGUCAGGCCAAAAAGACACCAUCAAUGGAAUCUGUUGAUUCUUCUGGUGAAGAAGACUAAAGGAGUGGUUGAAGGUAGCAACAAGAAGGGGAAAGAUAUCGCGCGUUGAGCAAAUCCCAAACCAUCUAACGCAAAUGCUCAUUUUCUUUAGUUUACGUUCUUCUGUGCGAUUGGAAUGGGUCAGAAGAUUUCUUGUUGACCAUUAAAAAUCAUGGUUGUAUUGAUGAUAUUUUGGUAACUUUUUGUGUUUGUAAUAUUUGGAUAAUAUAAUUACAUGAUAGAAUUUAACAUAUGGAUUAUGACAUAUAAGCUAAUGAAAUCAUGUAAAAUUUUGUUAAUAUAUGAAUAUUAUGUUUGGAUAUGAAAUAUAA